UGAGGAAUAUUGGACAAUGGGCGAGAGCCUGAUCCAGCCAUGUCGCGUGCAGGAAGACUGCCCUAUGGGUUGUAAACUGCUUUUGUACGGGAAGAAACCCCUUUACGUGUAGAGGAUUGACGGUACCGUACGAAUAAGGAUCGGCUAACUCCGUG
This 155-nucleotide ribosomal RNA is filed under the name uncultured bacterium. RNAcentral's name for it is "partial 16S ribosomal RNA". It matches the Rfam family "Bacterial small subunit ribosomal RNA", at positions 355 to 507 of the family's 1533-position model. The record is from RNAcentral.